Molecule: ribosomal RNA, 388 nt
Filed under: Lethrinus xanthochilus (yellowlip emperor)
Lineage: Eukaryota; Metazoa; Chordata; Actinopteri; Spariformes; Lethrinidae
Description: partial large subunit ribosomal RNA
Rfam family: Bacterial large subunit ribosomal RNA
Source: RNAcentral
GCCACAUAAGACGAGAAGACCCUAUGGAGCUUUAGACACUAAGGCGGACUUAUGUUUAACCUUCUCCAAUAAGAGAAGAAAAACUAAAUAAGUCCCUGCCCUAAUGUCUUUGGUUGGGGCGACCGUGGGGCACACAAAACCCCCAUGUGGAGCAGGAGCACAACUACUCCCACAGCUAAGAGCUACCGCUCUAAUAAACAGAAUUUCUGACCAACAAUGAUCCGACAACGUCGAUCAACGAACCGAGUUACCCUAGGGAUAACAGCGCAAUCUCCUUCUAGAGUCCAUAUCGACAAGGAGGUUUACGACCUCGAUGUUGGAUCAGGACAUCCUAAUGGUGCAGCCGCUAUUAAGGGUUCGUUUGUUCAACGAUUNNNGUCCUACGNGA